RNAcentral lists this transfer RNA (88 nucleotides) under Fibrobacter succinogenes subsp. succinogenes S85. Its description in RNAcentral is "tRNA-Leu". It matches the Rfam family "tRNA". Rfam says of the family: Transfer RNA (tRNA) molecules are approximately 80 nucleotides in length. Lineage: Bacteria; Pseudomonadati; Fibrobacterota; Fibrobacteria; Fibrobacterales; Fibrobacteraceae. The record is from RNAcentral.
UGCCCAGGUGGUGGAAUGGUAGACACUGGGGACUUAAAAUCCCUUGGGGGCAACUCCGUGCGGGUUCAAGUCCCGCCCCGGGCAUUGU